CGAAACUGAGCAAAUCAAGUUAAAAUCAAGCUGACCGCCAUGUCGUUAAACUGAGCAACUCAACUUCAAGCCGACUGCCAUAUCAUUAAAUUAAGCAUCUCAAUUUCAAUCCGACUGCCAAGUUGCUAAACUGCACAAAUCAAGUUCAGACCGCUAAGUUGCUAAACUGAGCAAACCAAGUCCAAAUCAAUCGACCACCAAGUCGUUAAAAUGAACAAAUCAAGUUCAAAUCAAUUGACCGCCAAAUCGU
RNAcentral lists this long non-coding RNA (250 nucleotides) under Ananas comosus (pineapple). Its description in RNAcentral is "long non-coding RNA (ACOM_LNC015134)". Lineage: Eukaryota; Viridiplantae; Streptophyta; Magnoliopsida; Poales; Bromeliaceae. The record is from RNAcentral.